This 207-nucleotide long non-coding RNA is filed under the name Elaeis guineensis (African oil palm). RNAcentral describes it as "long non-coding RNA (EGUI_LNC042223)". Lineage: Eukaryota; Viridiplantae; Streptophyta; Magnoliopsida; Arecales; Arecaceae. The record is from RNAcentral.
CAUGGGCUUUUAACGUGCUGCACAUGGGCUGGUUCUCAUUGGUUCUUAGCAUGUGCGAUUGAUGCGGAUUCACGCAUGGAGGGAACAAAUGCGGCAAAGAUAAAGAUGCAUACGGUUUGAUGCGGUGAAAGCCUGGAAUACGGAAACAGAUUAACGGCUAGGAUGUUGGAUAUUAAAAUUUUAAAAAAAAAUCUAAUCAUCUAUUUU